RNAcentral lists this ribosomal RNA (332 nucleotides) under uncultured bacterium. RNAcentral's name for it is "bacterial SSU rRNA". It matches the Rfam family "Bacterial small subunit ribosomal RNA", at positions 568 to 898 of the family's 1533-position model. The record is from RNAcentral.
UGUGUAGGCGGCCAGACAAGCGCGUUGUGAAAUACCCCGGCUUAACCGGGGAACUGCUUCGCGUACUAUCUGGCUUGAGGCAGGUAUGGGUGCGGGGAACUGUUGGUGGAGCGGUGGAAUGCGUAGAUAUCAACAGGAACGCCGGCGGUGAAGACGCCGCACUGGGCCUGUCCUGACGCUGAUACACGAAAGCGUGGGCAUAAAACGGGAUUAGAUACCCCGGUAUUCCACGCCCUAAACGAUGUCUACUAGGCUGGGGUGGUUCUGACACCAUCCUGGCCGAAGCAAAAGUGUUAAGUAGACCGCCUGGGGAGUACGGUCGCAAGGCUAAA